AACGAACGCUGGCGGCAUGCCUAACACAUGCAAGUCGAACGAAGGCUUCGGCCUCAGUGGCGCACGGGUGAGUAACGCGUGGGAAACUGCCUAUUGGUGGGGAAUAACGACGGGAAACUGUCGCUAAUACCGCAUAAGCCCUUCGGGGGAAAGAUUUAUCGCCGAUAGAUGUGCCCGCGUCCGAUUAGCUAGUUGGGGAGGUAAUGGCUCAGCAAGGCGACGAUCGGUAGCUGGUCUGAGAGGAUGAUCAGCAACACUGGGGCUGAGACACGGCACAGACUACUACGGGAGGGAGCAGUGGGGAAUAUUGGACAAUGGGCGAAAGCCUGAUCCAGCAAUGCCGCGUGAGUGAUGAAGGCCUUAGGGUUGUAAAGCUCUUUCGGGUGGGACGAUGAUGACGGUACCACCAGAAGAAGCCCCGGCUAACUUCGUGCCAGCCGCCGCGGUAA
Molecule: ribosomal RNA, 449 nt
Filed under: uncultured bacterium
Lineage: Bacteria
Description: partial 16S ribosomal RNA
Rfam family: Bacterial small subunit ribosomal RNA
Source: RNAcentral